CCUACGGGAGGCAGCAGUGGGGAAUAUUGGGCAAUGGAGGAAACUCUGACCCAGCAACGCCGCGUGAAGGAUGAAGGUUUUCGGAUUGUACACUUCUGUCGCGAGGGACGAAGAAUGACGGUACCUCGUAAGAAAGCCCCUGCAAACUACGUGCCAGCAGCCGCGGUAAUACGUAGGGGGCCAGCGUUGUCCGGAAGGACUGGGCGUAAAGGGUGUGUAGGCGGGUCUUUAAGUUAUAUGUGAAAUCCCGCGGUUCAACCGUGGAAGUGCAUAUAAAACUAGGGAGCUGGAGUGCAGGAGAGGGUAGUGGAAUUCCUAGUGAAGCGGUGGAAUGCGUAGAUAUUAGGAAGAACACCGGAGGCGAAGGCGGCUCACUGGACUGAAACUGACGCUGAGGCUCGAAAGCGUGGGGAGCAAACAGGAUUAGAUACCCGAGUAGUC
RNAcentral lists this ribosomal RNA (441 nucleotides) under uncultured bacterium. RNAcentral describes it as "partial 16S ribosomal RNA". It matches the Rfam family "Bacterial small subunit ribosomal RNA", at positions 338 to 795 of the family's 1533-position model. The record is from RNAcentral.